RNAcentral lists this ribosomal RNA (468 nucleotides) under uncultured bacterium. RNAcentral's name for it is "partial 16S ribosomal RNA". It matches the Rfam family "Bacterial small subunit ribosomal RNA", at positions 28 to 507 of the family's 1533-position model. The record is from RNAcentral.
GACGAACGCUGGCGGCGUGCUUAACACAUGCAAGUCGAACGGAAAGGCCCUGCUUUUGUGGGGUGCUCGAGUGGCGAACGGGUGAGUAACACGUGAGUAACCUGCCCUUGACUUUGGGAUAACUUCAGGAAACUGGGGCUAAUACCGGAUAGGAGCUCCUGCUGCAUGGUGGGGGUUGGAAAGUUUCGGCGGUUGGGGAUGGACUCGCGGCUUAUCAGCUUGUUGGUGGGGUAGUGGCUUACCAAGGCUUUGACGGUUAGCCGGCCUGAGAGGGUGACCGGCCACAUUGGGACUGAGAGACGGCCCAGACUCCGACGGGAGGCAGCAGUGGCGAAUAUUGCACAAUGGGCGGAAGCCUGAGGCAGCAACGCCGCGGGCGGGAUGACGGCCUUCGGGUUGUAAACCGCUUUCGCCUGUGACGAAGCGUGAGUGACGGUAAUGGGUAAAGAAGAACCGGCUAACUACGUG